UGUAUUUCUAGCUACGGUUUGCCCUAUG
This 28-nucleotide non-coding RNA is filed under the name Mus musculus (house mouse). The record is from RNAcentral. Lineage: Eukaryota; Metazoa; Chordata; Mammalia; Rodentia; Muridae.